UCUAGAUUUUGGAUCCUGGCUCAGGAUGAACGCUGGCGGCGUGCCUAACACAUGCAAGUCGAGCGAUCUCUUCGGAGAGAGCGGCGGACGGGUGAGUAACGCGUGGGUAACCUGCCCUGUACACACGGAUAACAUACCGAAAGGUAUACUAAUACGGGAUAACAUACGAAAGUCGCAUGGCUUUUGUAUCAAAGCUCCGGCGGUACAGGAUGGACCCGCGUCUGAUUAGCUAGUUGGUAAGGUAAUGGCUUACCAAGGCAACGAUCAGUAGCCGACCUGAGAGGGUGAUCGGCCACACUGGAACUGAGACACGGUCCAGACUCCUACGGGAGGCAGCAGUGGGGAAUAUUGCACAAUGGGCGAAAGCCUGAUGCAGCAACGCCGCGUGAGCGAUGAAGGCCUUCGGGUCGUAAAGCUCUGUCCUCAAGGAAGAUAAUGACGGUACUUGAGGAGGAAGCCCCGGCUAACUACGUGCCAGCAGCCGCGGUAAUACGUAGGGGGCUAGCGUUAUCCGGAAUUACUGGGCGUAAAGGGUGCGUAGGUGGUUUUUUAAGUCAGAAGUGAAAGGCUACGGCUCAACCGUAGUAAGCUUUUGAAACUAGAGAACUUGAGUGCAGGAGAGGAGAGUAGAAUUCCUAGUGUAGCGGUGAAAUGCGUAGAUAUUAGGAGGAAUACCAGUAGCGAAGGCGGCUCUCUGGACUGUAACUGACACUGAGGCACGAAAGCGUGGGGAGCAAACAGGAUUAGAUACCCUGGUAGUCCACGCCGUAAACUUUUGAGUACUAGGUGUCGGGGGUUACCCCCCUUCCGGGUUUCCCGCCAAG
RNAcentral lists this ribosomal RNA (824 nucleotides) under Clostridium sp. RNAcentral describes it as "bacterial SSU rRNA". It matches the Rfam family "Bacterial small subunit ribosomal RNA", at positions 1 to 864 of the family's 1533-position model. The record is from RNAcentral. Lineage: Bacteria; Bacillati; Bacillota; Clostridia; Eubacteriales; Clostridiaceae.